RNAcentral lists this ribosomal RNA (489 nucleotides) under uncultured bacterium. Its description in RNAcentral is "partial 16S ribosomal RNA". It matches the Rfam family "Bacterial small subunit ribosomal RNA", at positions 30 to 507 of the family's 1533-position model. The record is from RNAcentral.
UGAACGCUGGCUACAGGCUUAACACAUGCAAGUCGAGGGGAAACGACGGGGAAGCUUGCUUCCCCGGGCGUCGACCGGCGCACGGGUGAGUAACGCGUAUCCAACCUGCCUCUGACUGAGGGAUAACCCGUCGAAAGUCGGCCUAAUACCUCAUGGUAUCGUCUGCGGGCAUCCAACGACGAUUAAAGAUUUCAUCGGUCAGGGAUGGGGAUGCGUCUGAUUAGCUUGUUGGCGGGGUAACGGCCCACCAAGGCUACGAUCAGUAGGGGUUCUGAGAGGAAGGUCCCCCACAGUGGAACUGAGACACGGUCCAAACUCCUACGGGAGGCAGCAGUGAGGAAUAUUGAUCAAUGGGCGAGAGCCUGAACCAGCCAAGUAGCGUGCAGGAAGACGGCCCUAUGGGUUGUAAACUGCUUUUAGGCGGGGAUAAAGUGAGGGACGUGUCCCUCAUUGCAGGUACCGCAUGAAUAAGGACCGGCUAAUUCCGUG